This 345-nucleotide ribosomal RNA is filed under the name uncultured bacterium. RNAcentral describes it as "partial 16S ribosomal RNA". It matches the Rfam family "Bacterial small subunit ribosomal RNA", at positions 338 to 682 of the family's 1533-position model. The record is from RNAcentral.
CCUACGGGUGGCAGCAGUGGGGAAUAUUGCACAAUGGGCGCAAGCCUGAUGCAGCGACGCCGCGUGCGGGAUGGAGGCCUUCGGGUUGUAAACCGCUUUUGUUCAAGGGCAAGGCACGGUCGGUGGCCGGGUUGAGUGGAUGGUUCGAAUAAGCACCGGCUAACGACGGGCCAGCAGCCGCGGGAAUCCGUAGGGUGCAAGCGUUCUCCGGAUUUAUUGGGCGUCAAGGGCUCGUAGGCGGUUCGUCGCGUCCGGGGGGAAAGUCCAUCGCUUAACGGUGGAUCCGCGCCGGGUACGGGCGGGCUUGCUUGCGGUAUGGGAGACUGGAAUUCCCGUUGUACCGGU